AGGCUCAUGGACCCAUUGACCAUUCAUUAUACGCUCAUCUUUGAAGUUGAAUCCUUUAAUAGAUUUCUCCGAGUUAACAGCGGGGUUAGUUGAUUCCUUCACGUCAUUGGAAGUAUCACCUACUUCCUGUGCUCCAUCUCUUUUUUGCUUUGCCAGGGCCCUCUCUACCUCAGUCACAACACGUCCAUACGCAACACCUGCGACUGAACAUUUAACAAACUCCAUGGAGUUGCAUGUUAAGG
RNAcentral lists this unclassified non-coding RNA (242 nucleotides) under Hevea brasiliensis (rubber tree). Lineage: Eukaryota; Viridiplantae; Streptophyta; Magnoliopsida; Malpighiales; Euphorbiaceae. The record is from RNAcentral.